GAAUAUUAAGACUUAAAAAAUGGUAAUGCAGUCUGCUGAAUACAACUUGAUAGUAAACUCAAUUUUUUUUUAUUCAAGGGGCAGGCACUAUCAUUUUUGUCUAAAAUUCUCUUUUCUUGAUCUUGAUUGUUGAAAUUAAAUUCCCUUUUGAUUGUUGAAAAAUGUGGCUGUUAUUUCAAUUUUGCUCGAAGUUCUCUCUCUGCCUUUUGAGUUUGACUUGAGUGUAUGUUUGCUGUGCAACUACUGGUCUGGUGACACUUCUCUGUUUUUCAUGAAUCAUGGGUUUACAAGCUAAUUGUGCAAGUCUGGCCAAUUAUUAUAUCUUCCAAUAAAAGGAAAGAACUCAGAAUUUUGGUUGUUUCAGGUAAAGGAUGUGGACUCUAUCACCCUUGAAGACGCACUUGUGUUGCUACAAUAUCCAUUGACAUUGGUAUGUUUCCCAAUUCUAGUUGAGCUACUUGUCAUGUUGAUUUUGCAUGUCAGUUUUUGACAACUGAGUUUAUGAUGAAAUUGUUGAGUUUUAUAUAUAUGGUUGUGAUGUGUAAGACAAUCUUGGCGUGGUAAUAAUAUUUUAUGAACAUGAUAGUGGAAGGCAAACUUUCAAUCAAAUGAACAAUUUUUUUAUUUUUAAAUAUUCAGCUUGC
This 644-nucleotide long non-coding RNA is filed under the name Trifolium pratense (red clover). RNAcentral's name for it is "long non-coding RNA (TPRA_LNC009534)". Lineage: Eukaryota; Viridiplantae; Streptophyta; Magnoliopsida; Fabales; Fabaceae. The record is from RNAcentral.